CAUGAGAAAACCUCCAUCUGGGGAACCGCCCAGCCCAGCCCUGACUCCACCAUGGACCCCAGGCUCCUCUGCUGGGUGACCCUCUGUCUCCUGGGGGAAGGUCAUGCAGGACCCGGAGUCUCCCAGUUCCCCAGGCACAGGGUCACAAAGAGGGGCCAAAAUAUAACUCUCAGUUGUGAUCCCAUUUCUGGUCAUAUUAGCCUUUAUUGGUACCGACAGACCAUGGGGAAAGGCCUGGAAUUUUUGGUUUACUUCAAUAACAAGGAUGCAUUGGACAAAUCAGGGAUGACCAAUGAUCGGUUCUCGGCCAAGAGGUCUGAGGGGACCAACUCCACUCUGCAGAUCCAGCGUGCAGAGCAGGGGGACUCGGCUGUGUACCUCUGUGCCAGCAGUCCCACCACAGUGGGGCACCAUCACCUCCUUGCUCUUCACAAACCUCGUGUGCUCACUUCUCCUAGCUCACAGGAUCUCUGA
Molecule: non-coding RNA, 474 nt
Organism: Lontra canadensis (Northern American river otter)
Lineage: Eukaryota; Metazoa; Chordata; Mammalia; Carnivora; Mustelidae
Source: the annotation of a RefSeq genome assembly